Molecule: ribosomal RNA, 253 nt
Filed under: uncultured bacterium
Lineage: Bacteria
Description: partial 16S ribosomal RNA
Rfam family: Bacterial small subunit ribosomal RNA
Source: RNAcentral
UACAGAGGGGGCAAGCGUUAUUCGGAAUUAUUGGGCGUAAAGGGCGCGUAGGCGGUCGUGCAAGUGGAAGGUGAAAUCCCUCGGCUCAACCGAGGAACUGCCUUUCAAACUGCAUGACUUGAGUCCGGGAGAGGUGAGUGGAAUUCCCAGUGUAGCGGUGAAAUGCGUAGAUAUUGGGAGGAACACCAGUGGCGAAGGCGGCUCACUGGACCGGAACUGACGCUGAGGUGCGAAAGCGUGGGGAGCAAACAGG